This is a long non-coding RNA of Sceloporus undulatus (fence lizard), 474 nucleotides long. RefSeq lists it as uncharacterized. The transcript has 3 exons. NCBI's taxonomy places the organism in Eukaryota, Metazoa, Chordata, Lepidosauria, Squamata, Phrynosomatidae. The record is from RefSeq and is a predicted model, not a curated record.
UGUUUCAAUCCCACAGGUUUAUUAAGUCCUAUAUGAAGUUGGCAGCUCCCAUGGAGUGCAGGACUCUGGGCUCUCUUGCGAUGAAUGAUGUUUACUUAGGAAUUUUAUAGAGCCAGAUAAGCCUAGAAGGACAGGCUGCGGAUGGUAAGAGAACUCAGUGCCUCAUCCCAGGGUGCAAAGCACCCUUGUUGUUUCCGUUCCCAACACCAGUCCCGAGUUGCUCGCUCAAGAUGCUGACCUGGUGGACAAGUCAGUGGCUGUUCUGAAACAUCUGGAGGAGCUUUGUCACAACAAUUGUGCCUCAGCCAUGGAGGAAUAUGAGAAGCAGCUGAAAGACAUCCCCCCAGAGGGUAACCAAAGGACCUGUGCUCCCUCAACCGGCUGGUGGAUUCAGCUUUGGAGGACUCUGGGGCAGAGAACCCUGCGAAAAAGAAGCAGAAGAAAGAGAACAAAAAAGAUCAAGAGAAGCAGACU